GUUCAUUUAGUUUAAUUUAAAAUUUUGGUUUGUGGUACCAGGGAUCUUUUUAAGGUUGAGCU
Molecule: transfer RNA, 62 nt
Filed under: Plectoderini sp. SX-2018
Lineage: Eukaryota; Metazoa; Arthropoda; Insecta; Hemiptera; Achilidae
Description: tRNA-His
Source: RNAcentral